This 403-nucleotide ribosomal RNA is filed under the name uncultured bacterium. RNAcentral's name for it is "bacterial SSU rRNA". It matches the Rfam family "Bacterial small subunit ribosomal RNA", at positions 355 to 774 of the family's 1533-position model. The record is from RNAcentral.
UAGGGAAUAUUGCACAAUGGGCGAAAGCCUGAUGCAGCAACGCCGCGUGUGCGAUGAAGGUCUUCGGAUCGUAAAGCGCUUUUGAGAGGGACGAGAUAGGACGGUACCUCUUGAAUAAGUCACGGCUAACUACGUGCCAGCAGCCGCGGUAAAACGUAGGUGGCAAGCGUUAUCCGGAUUUACUGGGCGUAAAGCGCGUGCAGGCGGAUUGGAGAGUUGGAUGUGAAAGCUCCCGGCUUAACUGGGAGAGGUCGUUCAAUACUUCCAGUCUUGAGUGCAGUAGAGGGAAGUGGAAUUCCGGGUGUAGUGGUGAAAUGCGUAGAUAUCCGGAGGAACACCAGUGGCGAAAGCGGCUUCCUGGACUGUAACUGACGCUCAGACGCGAAAGCUAGGGUAGCAAACG